Molecule: long non-coding RNA, 3890 nt
Organism: Oreochromis aureus
Lineage: Eukaryota; Metazoa; Chordata; Actinopteri; Cichliformes; Cichlidae
Source: Ensembl
CAAAUAGUCAGUAAUUAGGUUUGUUCUGAUGGCAAAGAUGACAGAACAACAGAUGUUUGUUAUCCUUUUGUCAUAUUGCUUCAUUACAGACAUUGUUCAAAAAUAACAAAGAUAUUUCAGCGCAUUCUUUUUCAAUAGCAGGCUUGGACAGGCUAAAGCAUAGCUUAAACACAUAAAACAUGUCUUUAUCAUAAAUGUUUUAAUAAAUCCAUUGAUCCAUGUUAUGAGGCAUAAAAUAUUACAAAUUCAUAUUCUGCCUAAUAUUAUACAACAUGGAGACGGGGUGACGCUUUACUACACAAGAUAUAUGUGACUUUAUGCGUGUUUAAAAACAAGACUCCAUUAUUGGGCCUGUGGUGAGUUGUGUCAUUUCUGUUUGCACUUCCAACACUAUCUUUGGCAGUUUGUGUUCCUUCUUAAAAGUGCAAAAGACUCAAAAUUCUUCCUUCAUAGUGCUGGUAUGGAAGCUCAGUAUUCCAAAAUUUUGACAUAUAUUGUCCUACAAUUUUUCAAAGUGCCAUCAAAAAUCCACCUAUAAAAAAUAAAACUAAAAAAAAACAUUUUUGGUUAAAAUUUAGUUCAUAUACCCUUCAAGGACACCUUCUCCUUGAACCAGAUUCGAAGAACUUUUUGAUAACACCCUCAUAAAAUCUUCAUCAGGUUUAGAUGGCUUUACAUUUUGCAUUCAUUUAUCCAUAGUAUGUUCUUUUGUGUACAAAUCAAGUCUACUGUACAGUUAUGAUCAACCACAAAAAUAUAAUAAUGCAUUUGUAAGCACAUAUGCAACAAAAUAUCAAGGCCACAGCUGAAUAAAAAUAUGAAUGUGAUAUUUUAAGAAAUGUGCCAUUUUCUGAUUAAAGAUGUUAUUACUAGUAAUAGUCAUAAUUUUCUAAUAUACAAUGAAGUUUGGAUUUAAAGAACAAAGCUGCAUCUCUACAUGGGAAAAUGUGAAAAGAAAAAGCCUUAUGAGAGAUGAAAAUAUGCCUUGAUUUUACAAACACACUUUCAUUUUUAUAAUUAUUUAUAAUUUGGCAAAUUACAAGUUCAUUUUCAUCACACAACGCCAUUUCAAUAGAGAAGAAUUCAUUAGAAAAAAAUUAAAUUACAACUAAAAAUUAAAAUGACAACUUAACUAUAAAUAUUAUUAACUCAAAACCUUGUUUAUUAAGGUCAUCAUGUCUAUGAUGCAAAUCAGCAUAAUGCUGUUAUGGAGCUUGACACCUGACUAAAGGUUUCUAAUAAUAUGUGACAAGGUCUAUAUAGCAGUGGUGGACAAAAAGUCACAUUAAUGUAGCAGGGCCUGCUUGGGUUCAAGUGACAUUUUUCUCACUGGACAGUGAGUGCACGAGUUCAUGAGGACAUCUCCAAGCCUGUCAAGUUUUUCUGAUUGCAUGGACUCAUCUGUGGAGAUGUACAUUACAAUGCACUAACUGUGGAUGUGCCCCAGGCAGGACAGGCUACAGCAACACAAUUAAUGUAUGGCGACUAUGUGUUUUAAUGUAAUAAUUUAAUGAUUUUUAAAUAGUAUCUAAUGUUUUGAUACAUUAGACAUCUGAAAUGCAUAAAGCCUUAAAAACAAAUGUCUGAUAAGUGUAUUUAAAAAUGCAUUGUACCAUAUACCUACAUAGAUGUUGUUACAGUUUUACUUGCACAACUGCAGCUUUAUUCUUAAGCCUUUAUAAAUAGGACUUAUUUGUACAAAACAAAAAAGCCUUUAUUUUUCUAUUAAAACUUUUAUUCUAUAACCCCCUUUUCGUAAAAGUUGAUACAUUUAUUUUAAUAUUAAUUAAUAUGAGUGCACUGAAAUUUCAAGAAUAAAGUUGCAGGAUCUUUUACAGUCAUGUAAAAGUCAAAGAUACUGUGUGUGUUUGAAAUGUAGCUUUUUUUGGUUCCUGUGCAAAAUGUGUUUAAAAACAGAAUGCAAUGAUUUGCAAAUCUCAUAAACCCAUAUUUUAUUCACAAUUUAAAAAAACUGAAAAAAUAAUAAAUGUUUAAACUUGGGAUUAUUUAAGAAAAUUAUUAGGUCAUCUUGAAUUUGAUGGCAGCUUGUAUAAACACUAUGAGCAUCUGGGAAGAAGGCUUAACUAAAACUGAGUUGAUAAUAAAGUUUCCCUCAUCUCAGGGUUAACAAACUCAAAGUCAUAUCUAUACUCUCCAUCUUUCUAAGUCCUUGACAAUAAUGCUGUCAGGCUGUCAGCCAGUUUCCUGAAAACAUUUACUGUGUGUUGCACACUGGAAAUAUUAUCAGCUGUCACAGUGACGAAAAACGUGUCACAUCUGGAUCUUGGAGCUGAUGUAAAUAUUUGCGCGAACACUAGGUGGGGCUGAGAUGACUUUAAGUGUCAUGGUUCCUGGAGUCAGUGUUUUCAGUUUGUUGUUCUUUUUCCUCAGUUAAUUUUUUUAAAUCUAUUUUUUUGUGUUAUUGUAAUUAUGUUUGGAUUAUGUCCUGAAGUUUCUGGGUUUUUGUUUAUAAUUUAAUAAACACGUUUCAAUUAAUGUCUAUCUUUUAUUAUCAUUCUGGUUUUGGUGAUUUGGUUUAUACUUAUUCUUCCUAGCCUUCCCUGUUCCCUCAGUGCAGGUGUUUUCAUGACUUCCUGUCUGAUUUUGCCAGUCAGUUGUCUCAGUUUUCUUCAGUUCAUGUUUUAUUGUCCAUGCUCCCACGUUCUGUUUUUUCUCUUUUGUCUCCUACUUUUGCAAUUCUGCCUUGAGCCCAGCUUUGUCUCCUUGACAUCCAGGAGUAAACAUCCUUUUGAGUUUACCCUUUUGUCUCCAGGGUCCUGCAUAUCGGGUCCAAGCCCUGCCUGCCGCACAACAUAUCACGACAUUGACACUCAAACUGAACUCCAUAUAUUUUAGAGUUGUUCUUAAACAUGGACUAUCUGCAGGUUCUGAGCAUUUACAUUGUGUUCACAGACUGAGAUGAAGUCAUUAUUAUUAUGAAUUAUGUCAAACAACAUUUUGGUAUCUGAAUUUCAGAGUCUGAGCCUUGACACAUUUUACACUGAAAAGCAGCUAAAUUAGUGUCGAGUCAACCUGGAACCUUAAUUGCUGAGAUCAUAGGCUCUGCAAAAGAUCAGCAAACCGUGUCAGAGUCCACUUAUCCAAAACAGAUCAUGGAUUCAGAUCUGACAUUUUUAUCUUCGCUUUUUUCACCUACAUUUUGUCGUUCUUAGGUUAGAAGUGAAUAAUUAAAUUUAGAUAUCAAAUCAAAUUAGGAUUCUAGCUUCAUCUAAAAAAAUAGUUGGGUGCAUGAUGCCAGCAGGCGUUAUAAAAACUAUACCGCCACUGCUACCCCAGAAUCUUCUAACAGAUGUACCUAUGUAUUAAUUUAAAAAUCCUUCGUUACCUCGUUCGCGUGUUCACGAAAUUGGAUGUCGACCUGACAGGGUGAUGACAAUACCCAUCAGCCUUUAAUGGCUUAGCAGUAAAAAUGCUAUAUUUUAUUAUCAAACUUAUCUGUGAUGAUGACAAAGUGGCCCACACUGAUUAAUAGUACUCUUUUUCCCUUCUGUUCAUAUUCUGUGGUGAAUAAUAGUAUCAGAGCUCCAUUAAUGAUGGUUUUCUUUCCCUGGCCAUGCAUGCGCAUAUCUCAGGGUGACCACAUUCAGAGUUGAUUGACCUAACUCCAAUCAGCUGUUCCAGAACAAGAAACUCUGAAUUGCCCAUCUCUGUUAUUUUUCAACAUGCUUCCUGGAACAUGGCCCAGCAGUUGGACUUUUAGGAGUGGAAUAUUGGCCCAUUCUUGUCUUACAUGGGAUUGUAGCUGCUCAACGGUCCUUGGUCAUCUUUGGAUGAGAGCAUCCAUCCAAAGGAUAAUGUCUUUGGCUAGUUUCUCUUAAAUGUAUAUAGACCUUGUAGCAUUGAUUGUGUCUUUCCAGAUGUGCCAGCUG